CGGCACUGCAUCGGGAACGCGGGAGCCUGCGCUCCCGUGCGUGUGCAUGUGUGUGGGCCAUUUCUGCCCCUGGGCGCGCACGGUUCGGGCGCUGAGCUCGUUCCGGCUUCUAGACAGGUGCCCCGGGCAGCGUCUCCCACUGUACUAUCGCCCGGAUACCCAGGCAGGAUUCCUGGAUGCCCAUGGCCUGGUUCGUGCCACUGAGGUUGCAACUUGAUACUCCCAAUGGAGAGAUCUGAUGGCCUGGUAAUGUCAGCACAUCCAUGUAAGUUAUAGCUCCACUGCUGUUGAAACCUGUGUUCUCUGUGCGGCACUUCCUGAUCCUCUUUACCUGCCCUCGGGCCCACAACCUGGGAAGCCCCUUUAGCUCACACAUUUCUGUUCAACCCGCAAUACUGGAUUGAGCUGUCGUGCUCCUGAGUGUCACUUCUGCUGCUUUGUCACACUUCUAACAGUCUUGUGUCAAACCAUGUGAAUAACAUCUGAAAUUAGGGCAGGAUGGUGGACUUAUGGGAAGAUGUAAAAGAAUGCCUGUACCAGGCGCAGAAGUAAACAUGAAGGAAUACUA
Arvicanthis niloticus (Nile rat) is the source of this 568-nucleotide non-coding RNA. The record is from RefSeq and is a predicted model, not a curated record. Lineage: Eukaryota; Metazoa; Chordata; Mammalia; Rodentia; Muridae.